GCUCACGGAGCACCACACACCUCUAUCCGCAUCGAACCACACAUCUCUAUCUGCAUGGCAGACGCCGCCGACGCAAGCCCCAUUACGCCAGCACCGACGAACACCAAGUCCAUGGCAAGUAGAGUUUCUGCUGAUCGAUUUGAUACUUGUGUUUGGUAUGGGCCGGAUGGUAGGGCAUCAAGUGAAAGGAAUAAUUCAUUUCAAAGCGGAUCACUCAGGAUACCAAGGGUUCCAGUGACUUUGAGAUAUAUUUUGAAUUACCCUCGAUGGAUUAAACCAAAUGUGAUUUCAAUCGGUCCUUACUACUAUGGUGAUAAGUAUCUCCAAGAAGUGCAAAAGCUCAAGUAUCAACAUGCCGAGAACUUCAUACGUGAAAGUCAACAACAAAUAAAUGAGUUGUACCAAAAAAUUGAAAAUGAGAUCGACGACCUAGCAAUGUGUUAUGAUUCUUAUCAAGCAACAUCGGAAGAUGACAAAAAGAAACUGGCCACGAUAUUCUUGUUGGAUGGGUGUUUUUUACUACGUUUCAUUUACUACAGCAACAAGGAGGAUGGGAUCAACGCUUUGAAUUUUACAAAUCAUGAUGUGACUUAUAUAAGACAAGACUUGUUCUUGUUAGAGAACCAACUUCCCUAUCAAGUUCUCAAGCUGUUGUUCGAACAUGCCAAUUUUGAGGCAGAGUCGAAAGAUUUUUCAAUGGAAGAGAUGAUAAAAGAUUUUGUCAUAUCUCACAUCCCCUUGCCUCGAGGAAAAUCGGAAAGAGAAACAUCGGAAAGAGGAAAAAUAGAUGAGCCUUGCCAUCUCCUUCACCUUUUGCAACGUGCAGUUUUAGGCCAAUUGGAAACAAAUCACCCACAACAAAAAGAGGAUGAAGCUGGAGGGAAAAAAGCAACGUGAGAGACAAUGUCCCCCUAAAGGAGGAAUUAGAAAGUUGUUGAGGCGACUCCCUGCUUUACUCCCCCACAACAAAGAAGGCAAAGUACAAAGGAAAUCCAUUCGUCACUCGUUCAAAAACGCCCAACAACUUACAAUAGUGGGCAUCCGUUUUAAGCCCAAUGAGACGGGUCAUUUGGGAGAUAUUUCUUUCACUUCUGAUUGCUCUGGCAUUACUGGAUGCCUUAGGCUUCCUCCAAUCACCAUUGACACCUCAACUAUGAUAAUUUUCUUAAACUUGAUAGCCUUCGAAUCCUCAAAUACCCCCAACGACCUUGGCGUAAUCUCUUACCUAUGCUUCCUGGACUCACUCAUUGAUCAUUGGGACGACGUUAAAGAGCUUCAGGCAGCCCAAGUACUCCAUAACUUUUUGGGUGACCAAAGAGAAGUGGCCAAAUUUUUCAACCACGUAUGCGGCAAAUUGGUACCAAAUUCUAAUGCUUAUAAAAAUGUGAAACUACAAAUUCAAAAGCAUAUUGAAAGUCACUACAAGAGCAAAUUGCGGAUAUGGUUGCUUCAAUGCAAGCAUACCUAUUUUAGUAGUCCCUGGAGUAUCAUUGCGUUGUUUGCUGCAUUUUUAGGACUACUCCUUACUGCUAUUCAAGCCUACACUUCACUUGCCUGAAGCUGAUAAGUUGCUUCUUAGUAUCCUAUUAUCCCCGCCUUGUCAGGCACCCUUAGCUCGGGUGAGGAGUGAUGACUACGUCAGGGAAUGGUCAUCAUUAAGAUUUUGCUUAGGAUGUUAUUUGGACAUUAUAAGCUUAUGAGUUUAUGUUCCUUUGGAUUAUUUGGUUUUUGGAAGCUAUUUAGAUAUUGAGCUUUUAAAUAUUUUUUUUGAUAAGUUUGAAGUUGAGAUUUGGAGAUUAUGGAAAUUUGUUAGCACUUGAUUUAUUUGAGCUUGCAAUCUAUUUGGAUAAUGGAUUUUGGUUGAUGGAUGCUUAGUUUUAAAGUUAA
Vitis vinifera (wine grape) is the source of this 1887-nucleotide RNA transcript. RefSeq lists it as uncharacterized. The record is from RefSeq and is a predicted model, not a curated record. NCBI's taxonomy places the organism in Eukaryota, Viridiplantae, Streptophyta, Magnoliopsida, Vitales, Vitaceae. The transcript has 3 exons.